AGCGAACGCUGGCGGCAGGCCUAACACAUGCAAGUCGAACGAACUCUUCGGAGUUAGUGGCGGACGGGUGCGUAACACGUGGGAACGUGCCUUUUGGUUCGGAAUAACUCAGGGAAACUUGUGCUAAUACCGAAUGUGCCCUUCGGGGGAAAGAUUUAUCGCCAUUAGAUCGGCCCGCGUCUGAUUAGCUAGUUGGUGGGGUAACGGCCCACCAAGGCGACGAUCAGUAGCUGGUCUGAGAGGAUGACCAGCCACACUGGGACUGAGACACGGCCCAGACUCCUACGGGAGGCAGCAGUGGGGAAUAUUGCGCAAUGGGCGAAAGCCUGACGCAGCCAUGCCGCGUGAAUGAUGAAGGUCUUAGGAUUGUAAAAUUCUUUCACCGGGGACGAUAAUGACGGUACCGGGAGAAGAAGCCCCGGCUAACUUCGUG
RNAcentral lists this ribosomal RNA (433 nucleotides) under uncultured bacterium. Its description in RNAcentral is "partial 16S ribosomal RNA". It matches the Rfam family "Bacterial small subunit ribosomal RNA", at positions 29 to 507 of the family's 1533-position model. The record is from RNAcentral.